UGCAAACUUUUUUUUUUUUUUAUUUAAAAUUUCCCCCCUUUCAAUAAUUGAUUUUCCCCGUUUUCCCCCAAAAAAAAAAAAAAAAAAAAAAAAAACCUGAAUGUUGCUGCUGUGUCACUCGGCAAAGGAGUGUGUUUUUUGAUCGAAA
RNAcentral lists this non-coding RNA (148 nucleotides) under uncultured Mamiellales. The record is from RNAcentral. Lineage: Eukaryota; Viridiplantae; Chlorophyta; Mamiellophyceae; Mamiellales.